ACUUUUUUAAAAUUAAUUAACUUGUUUUAACUGUAAUAAAUGUUGUUUGUUAACAUUUAGUUACAGUUUUUUCUUUCUUUUUAAGAAUUAUCUGAAUUUUGUUUUACAGAAAUAUUGUGAUUAAAUUAAAUUGAUAACAAUUGAACAUAAACGGCAAUUUAUUCUGUUUUGUUAUAGCAAACAUUACUGUUGAUGUACAGAUUUGUGAUGUUCACCCAGAAGUUGGUUAUUUACCAAGAGGUCAAUUUUAAUAUUUACUUGUUACACCUUAAUAUUAAAUACAAUCAUUGUUAACCCAAAAAUCCUACAAAAAACACAAGAGCCCAGACUUAUGUCUGUUUCUUUUUAUUUGUUGAUGUUAUUUCUGAUUUUUUUUUUUUGUAAACCAAAAGUUUUGUUUUAAUGUAUUCUUGUGUUCGUGUGUGUGUUUUUUUUUUACACAUUUAUAUUUUCACUUUUUUCUACUUAAUAUGUUGUUCCUGGUGAACAUUUGCUUGAAUGCAGCGAAACAUUUACUUACAAAUUAUGUGUCUAUUUCAUGUACCAUUGUUUGAUGCAGCAUUAAUUUUUAUAAUGUUGUUUUCAUUAAACUAAAUGAUUUAUAUUGA
Saccostrea cuccullata (small rock oyster) is the source of this 608-nucleotide long non-coding RNA. RefSeq lists it as uncharacterized. The transcript is spliced from 2 exons. The record is from RefSeq and is a predicted model, not a curated record. NCBI's taxonomy places the organism in Eukaryota, Metazoa, Mollusca, Bivalvia, Ostreida, Ostreidae.